RNAcentral lists this long non-coding RNA (378 nucleotides) under Cicer arietinum (chickpea). Its description in RNAcentral is "long non-coding RNA (CARI_LNC001475)". The record is from RNAcentral. Lineage: Eukaryota; Viridiplantae; Streptophyta; Magnoliopsida; Fabales; Fabaceae.
CCACGAAAAUGGUAUCACAAACUAACUCUUAGAUAAGAUAAAACUAUUAAUAAAAAGUAUUAGAAUAACAAAUCUAAUUAGCCAAAACUGAGAACGUUUCUCAAACCAAUAUCCAUCACCGGUAUCCAAAAUAUUUAUAUCCCUCAAUCUACUCUGAUAUGCUUCUAUGCGGCACUAUUCAAUUUCCAGGCACGCUACCGUUGCUCCUUCGCGAAAUAGGGAUUUUAUUCCCUUUUGUUUCAUGGGAAAAAUCCAAUGAUAAAAUAAUUUUUUUUCUUUUCUUUCUUUUUGGUGUGGGCUCUUACUUAAAAGAGAGAUUCAUCCAACAAUUUUCCCCUCAUGAUUCAAGUGGGGCAAACCGUUGUUACUAUGACAAUU